GAUGAACGCUAGCUACAGGCUUAACACAUGCAAGUCGAGGGGUAACAAGAGAAAAGCUUGCUUUUCUUGUUGACGACCGGCGCACGGGUGAGUAACGCGUAUCCAACCUGCCUAUAACUAGGGAAUAACCUUGCGAAAGUAAGACUAAUACCCUAUGAUUUCCUUUGAUGACAUCAGAUUAGGAAUAAAGAUUUAUCGGUUAUAGAUGGGGAUGCGUCUGAUUAGCUUGUUGGCGGGGUAACGGCCCACCAAGGCAACGAUCAGUAGGGGUUCUGGGAGGAAGGUCACCCACAUUGGAACUGAGACACGGUCCAACCUCCUACGGGAGGCAGCAGUGAGGAAUAUUGGUCAAUGGGCGGAAGCCUGAACCAGCCAAGUAGCGUGCAGGAUGACGGCCCUAUGGGUUGUAAACUGCUUUUGACGGGGAACAAGUCGGCCAUGCGUGGCUAAGUGAGUGUACCCGUAGAGUAAGCCACGGCUAACUACGUGCCAGCCGCCGCAGUAA
This 505-nucleotide ribosomal RNA is filed under the name uncultured bacterium. RNAcentral's name for it is "partial 16S ribosomal RNA". It matches the Rfam family "Bacterial small subunit ribosomal RNA", at positions 28 to 523 of the family's 1533-position model. The record is from RNAcentral.